CCGAGUUUACAACUCCCAAACCCCUGUGAACAUACCUAUCGUUGCUUCGGCGGAUCCGCCCCGGCGCCCUCGGGCCCGGAUCAGGCGCUCGCCGGAGACCCCAAACUCUUGUAUUUCUUUAGUAUCUUCUGAGUAAACAAGCAAAUAAAUUA
This 152-nucleotide unclassified non-coding RNA is filed under the name soil metagenome. RNAcentral's name for it is "partial internal transcribed spacer 1". The record is from RNAcentral.